Molecule: small RNA, 440 nt
Filed under: Neobacillus massiliamazoniensis
Lineage: Bacteria; Bacillati; Bacillota; Bacilli; Caryophanales; Bacillaceae
Description: Bacillus sp. LF1 cspA
Source: RNAcentral
UUUUAUUCCAUUAAAGGGUAGCUUAAGGUAAAGAAUUAGGGUUCCUUGCAAACAAUUUCAAAGAAUGCUAUUCUAAAUAUGAAUUAUUUUUGUUCGGUGUAAAGGAUAGCAUUAGUAAAACUUUUCGUCUUGAUGAUCACUGAGAGCAAGGAUAGUAAUACAUUGUGUGUGCUAACACACUAGGAGGCAACAAACAUGGAAAAAGGUAAAGUAAAAUGGUUUAAUGGCGAAAAAGGCUUCGGAUUCAUCGAACGUGAAGGUGGAGAAGACGUAUUCGUUCAUUUCUCAGCUAUCCAAGGCGAAGGGUACAAAUCAUUAGAAGAAGGUCAAGAAGUGACUUUUGAUGUUGAGCAAGGUCAACGUGGAGCACAAGCAGCUAACGUUCGUAAGGCUUAAUUAUUAUGCCAAACAUGGACAGACUCUUUUUUAGAGUCUGUUUU